GCAUAUCAAUAAGCGGAGGAAAAGAAACCAACAGGGAUUGCCUCAGUAGCGGCGAGUGAAGCGGCAAGAGCUCAGAUUUGAAAUCGUGUUUCGGCACGAGUUGUAGAGUGUAGGUGGGAGUCUCUGCGGAGCACAGUGUCCAAGUCCCUUGGAACAGGGCGCCUGAGAGGGUGAGAGCCCCGUGGGGUGCUGUGCGAAGCUUUGAGGCCCUGCUGACGAGUCGAGUUGUUUGGGAAUGCAGCUCUAAGCGGGUGGUAAAUUCCAUCUAAGGCUAAAUAUUGGCGAGAGACCGAUAGCGAACAAGUACUGUGAAGGAAAGAUGAAAAGCACUUUGAAAAGAGAGUGAAACAGCACGUGAAAUUGUUGAAAGGGAAGGGUAUUGGGCCCGACAUGGGGAGUGCGCACCGCUGUCUCUUGUAGGCGGCGCUCUGGGCGCUCUCUGGGCCAGCAUCGGUUCCUGCUGCGAGAGAAAGGGUUCCGGAAAGUGGCUCUUCGGAGUGUUAUAGCCGGGGCCAGAUGUCGCGUGUGGGGACCGAGGACUGCGGCUUCUUUCUCG
RNAcentral lists this ribosomal RNA (556 nucleotides) under Pichia californica. RNAcentral describes it as "[Candida] californica partial large subunit ribosomal RNA". It matches the Rfam family "Eukaryotic large subunit ribosomal RNA", at positions 38 to 609 of the family's 3401-position model. Lineage: Eukaryota; Fungi; Ascomycota; Pichiomycetes; Pichiales; Pichiaceae. The record is from RNAcentral.